RNAcentral lists this transfer RNA (78 nucleotides) under Thermococcus sp. Its description in RNAcentral is "tRNA-Lys". It matches the Rfam family "tRNA". Rfam says of the family: Transfer RNA (tRNA) molecules are approximately 80 nucleotides in length. Their secondary structure includes four short double-helical elements and three loops (D, anti-codon, and T loops). The record is from RNAcentral. RNAcentral also lists the same sequence under 13 other names. Lineage: Archaea; Methanobacteriati; Methanobacteriota; Thermococci; Thermococcales; Thermococcaceae.
GGGCCGGUAGCUUAGCCUGGUUAGAGCGGCGGACUCUUAAUCCGCAGGUCGGGGGUUCGAAUCCCCCCCGGCCCGCCA